UAGGGAAUUUUCGUCAAUGGGGGCAACCCUGAACGAGCAAUGCCGCGUGAGCGAAAGAAGGUCUUCGGAUUGUAAAGCUCUGUUGCCGGGGGAAAAAAGGAAAGGAAAGAGGAAAAUGCUUUUUCUUUGGAUGGUACCCGGCCAGAAAGUCACGGCUAACUACGUGCC
Molecule: ribosomal RNA, 168 nt
Filed under: uncultured bacterium
Lineage: Bacteria
Description: partial 16S ribosomal RNA
Rfam family: Bacterial small subunit ribosomal RNA
Source: RNAcentral